This is a long non-coding RNA of Osmerus eperlanus (European smelt), 376 nucleotides long. RefSeq lists it as uncharacterized. The transcript has 3 exons. The record is from RefSeq and is a predicted model, not a curated record. Lineage: Eukaryota; Metazoa; Chordata; Actinopteri; Osmeriformes; Osmeridae.
GGAGAGGGGGAGGAGGAGAGGAGACCAGGGGAGAAUAGCAGAGAAGAGAGGAGCGGAAGAAGAGGAGGAAGAAGAGGAGGAGAGGAGAGGAGGGACCAAAACCAUUAAGGAGAACAAGAGACAGAGAAUAAAAGGACAGAAGGUCUGAGGGAGCAGCGGUCGCCAUGGCAGACGUCCUGGAGAGCGGAGGAGGGGCGGGAGCCGUCGGAGCGGGCAGUGUGGAUUGGCAGAAGCGUUGCAUCGCCUUGGAGAUGCAGCUGCUGAGAUUCCGUCUGCAAGCAGGGAAGAUCCGCGAACUCCUGGCAGAGAAGAUGCAGGAGCUGGAGCAGAGGGUGAUGGAGGCAGAUCAGCGGGCAGAGAGAGCAGAGAAACAGGU